Molecule: ribosomal RNA, 642 nt
Filed under: Triticum aestivum (bread wheat)
Lineage: Eukaryota; Viridiplantae; Streptophyta; Magnoliopsida; Poales; Poaceae
Description: partial small subunit ribosomal RNA
Source: RNAcentral
AUGGGAUCAAUCAGUACCCAACAUACACUUUACGGAAGGGAAACUAUUUUCAAGAAAACACUAGAUGAUAUCACCAUUGGUACAUAUCAUUCGGAAACCAGCCUUUCUGUUCUUCCUAUAAUUGGUCCAGGGGGUAUUGGAAAGACAACUUUCACCCAACACCUCUAUAGUGAUAAAAGAAUGGAAGAACACUUUGAUGUUAAGGUUUGGGUGUGUGUAUCAACUGAUUUUGAUGUGUUUAAGCUCACCAAGCGUAUCUAUGACGGCAUGCUUGGAGCUGAAAAAGAAGAAAGCAACACAAGUGCAAAUCAAACAACCAACUUGAACGGGCUACAAGAAUCUAUCACCAGGAAAUUGAAGUCCAAAAGGUUUUUGAUUGUCUUUGAUGAUAUAUGGGAAUGCAACAGUGAAGGUUGGGAAAACUUGUUAGCACCAUUCAUCAAUGGGGACACCAAGGGCAACAUGGUUCUCGUUACAACUAGAUUUCCAUCUAAAGCUGAAAUGGUGAAAACAACCAACCCAAUAGCACUGGAAGGUCUGGAGCCUCAGGUCUUCUUCACAUUUUUUCUCAGACUGAAGCAGCAGCAACGCUACAAGUUUUUCUCAGGUUGUUGCUUGCUUGCCGGAGCUGAACUGCACUAG